GUGGAGCUGAGAUCCCCUGUGCUGUACUAGGCGUUUUGCUGCAUUCACUUCUGCAGCAAGGCACGGAAGAGCAUUUGGCUUAAUCUUUUCUGAGCUGACAGUUUGCUAUUUGUGGCAUUUUCUCGGAUUACAUACUCUGUGUAGCUGACAGGAACUUGUGAUUUUCAGCAAGAGGAACGCAAGGAAAUGACACACAUCCCUGACAGUCUGAUAACGUGUCCAGAGUGGCCUAUUCCCAGAUCCCUGAAACAUGGAGCCUAGAGAGGCUGCCUCUGCUGGUGCCACCACCCGGGCACAAUUGUGCCUGGACUUGCUAUCCCAGCUUCCUAAAAUACUACUUCAUUUUUGUCCGAGUGCAGAUUUGCAGGACUAAACCCAAAGAGCUGAUCUUAUUUCAAGCCUGAAUUUUCUUUUUUCUGUGGAUUAGAAAUAGCACUGCUGAAAUUGCCCGGGUCUAAAAUUCAGCAGAGAGAAAAAAAAAAAAAAAGCCCCGUGUGUUGUGUUAUUUUCUGCUAUUUUUGAUUCCUGAGAUUUUUUCUGGAGCCUUCAAAUUUUGUGCAACUAUCGUGUCUCUUGGAAAAUUGUCCUGUCAGUCUAAAUUGUCUUGCAUUUGCUGUAAGCUCCCGAGGCUAAUUGCUGCGUAGUGGCACAGUUAGUCCUUAGCUGUCUGUGUCUCUGGGCUGAAGAAUGAUCGUGUGCGGGGCAGAUCCACCGUGGCUGACUGACUCCAAGCACGAGUUUGGCCUGGUUGGGCUUUACUCCUUCAGACACAGCACUGGGCAGCUCGGUAUCCCUGAUUCCUUCAGGCUCACUUCUAAUUUGCACAAAGCUAGACAAUAAUGACUUGGAGAUCACAGGCAGGCACGUAGGAGCACAUCUGGGAUGAGACUGCACCUUGUUGCCUCCCAGAGGGUCCAAGCAAGUGGUAGUUUAUGCGGACGUCUGUGGAGGCUGCUCUGAUGGAGGUAGGUCUCUACAUCAUGCUGCGUGUGUCUUCAGGGAACAAGAGAUUCAAAAAUCCACACAUUGUUUUGUAGCCCCAUCCCACCCCAUGUUGUUUGCUGUAUUUAACUAAAACACAACACAAGCCCUUAUUUUUAGAGAUGAUAAAAUGCUGAUUAAAAAAAAAUAUUUAAUUUUAUCCAAUCUGUCAUUUUAAAGAUGAUUUUUUUCCAGUUUGGGAACAUUUUGUACUCUUUUUACUACAACUCAGAAGACACACCGAAGAGAGAUCUACAGACCCUGAGAGGAGAUUCUUUGUGAGAAGUCAUUAAUAUUGAUUUUACCUGACACACCUGCAGGAAGUGAACAAAAUUGUUCCUGUAUACAAGUAAUCUCCACUGCAAUCAGUUUUCUGGCUUGAACUGAACAAUUACUAAUCUAAACAGGAAUAAAACAGGAAUAACUUCCAUUUCUUUUGGUGCUUUUGCUGGUCAGCUGCAUUGCUUUAUUUGGCCUUUGCUUUUUGUAGUUCUAACACUCCUGCAGGUGGAAUCAGCCAUCCCUCAUCUGACAUAGCAUGAAGGGUGUUACAUAUUUUCAACUUAAAGACUGUCAGCAUUAGGAGAGUUUGGAGUUAAUAUGAGUAUUUAUUGCUUUUCGCUAAAGACAGUGCAGCAAAGAAACCUAUUUUCUUCAGAUAUUAAUUAGAUAGGUACAUAAUUAAACAUCUUAAAUAAUGAAAUAGAUGCUGUGUAAAAGGCUAAAAAUAACUGGCCAUGAAUUAAUCAUUCAGCCUGUAUUAAUAAAUAAGCUCUGGAUGUCAGCUCACAAAGAUUUCCUGGCAGUAAUUUGACCACUGAUAUGCUCAUCACAAACACAUCAGACUCCCCAUCUAGACACUGCCCAGAUGCAUUUUGUUGAGCUCCUGGAUCACUGCACCUUGCAGAGCCAGAGGGUUUUGUUUACAUAUUGGGUCUGGUCUGAUUCUCGUAUGGACAUCUUGGAACAUGGGUUUAGACAGAAAUAGCACAUUGCCCGUAAAUAUAGUGGAGAUGUGAUGUGAAAUCGUGCGUAACUUUGUGAGAGAGAGCAC
RNAcentral lists this long non-coding RNA (2035 nucleotides) under Anas zonorhyncha (Eastern spot-billed duck). RNAcentral's name for it is "lncRNA (ENSAZOG00000008492.1)". Lineage: Eukaryota; Metazoa; Chordata; Aves; Anseriformes; Anatidae. The record is from RNAcentral.